Molecule: ribosomal RNA, 449 nt
Filed under: uncultured bacterium
Lineage: Bacteria
Description: partial 16S ribosomal RNA
Rfam family: Bacterial small subunit ribosomal RNA
Source: RNAcentral
AAUGAACGCUGGCGGCAUGCCUAACACAUGCAAGUCGAACGAAGGCUUCGGCCUUAGUGGCGCACGGGUGCGUAACGCGUGGGAAUCUGCCCUCAGGUUCGGAAUAACAGCGAGAAAUUGCUGCUAAUACCGGAUGAUAUCGCGAGAUCAAAGAUUUAUCGCCUGAGGAUGAGCCCGCGUAGGAUUAGCUAGUUGGUGUGGUAAAGGCGCACCAAGGCGACGAUCCUUAGCUGGUCUGAGAGGAUGAUCAGCCACACUGGGACUGAGACACGGCCCAGACUCCGACGGGAGGCAGAAGUGGGGAAUAUUGGACAAUGGGCGAAAGCCUGAUCCAGCAAGGCCGCGUGAGUGAUGAAGGCCUUAGGGUUGUAAAGCUCUUUUACCCGGGAUGAUAAUGACAGUACCGGGAGAAUAAGCUCCGGCUAACUCCGUGCCAGCCGCCGCCGUAA